GACGAACGCUGGCGGCGUGCUUAACACGUGCAAGUCGAACGCUGAAGCUUGGUGCUUGCACUGGGUGGAUGAGUGGCGAACGGGUGAGUAAUACGUGAGUAACCUGCCCUUGACUCUGGGAUAAGCCUGGGAAACUGGGUCUAAUACUGGAUAUGACAUGCCACUGCAUGGUGGUGUGUGGAAAGGGUUUUACUGGUUUUGGAUGGGCUCACGGCCUAUCAGCUUGUUGGUGGGGUAAUGGCCUACCAAGGCGACGACGGGUAGCCGGCCUGAGAGGGUGACCGGCCACACUGGGACUGAGACACGGCCCAGACUCCUACGGGAGGCAGCAGUGGGGAAUAUUGCACAAUGGGCGGAAGCCUGAUGCAGCGACGCCGCGUGAGGGAUGACGGCCUUCGGGUUGUAAACCUCUUUCAGCACGGAAGAAGCGAGAGUGACGGUACGUGCAGAAGAAGCGCCGGCUAACUACGUG
This 472-nucleotide ribosomal RNA is filed under the name uncultured bacterium. Its description in RNAcentral is "partial 16S ribosomal RNA". It matches the Rfam family "Bacterial small subunit ribosomal RNA", at positions 28 to 507 of the family's 1533-position model. The record is from RNAcentral.